Crotalus tigris (Tiger rattlesnake) is the source of this 3126-nucleotide RNA transcript. RefSeq lists it as uncharacterized. The transcript is spliced from 8 exons. The record is from RefSeq and is a predicted model, not a curated record. NCBI's taxonomy places the organism in Eukaryota, Metazoa, Chordata, Lepidosauria, Squamata, Viperidae.
UUAACAAGAUAGUUGAAAGGGCUUUGUGCUGGACCAGUAUGUAACUUUGGCCACAGCAUAUGUUUAGAUUAGAAAACUGUGUUAGAGCAUUUAGCAUUUAAAGGGUUAAACACUGUCUCCUUAAGAGAUGGUCUCUGGGAAAUGUAAUCUUGUUAGUCAGUCCUAUAUCUUAUCUAGUCAGUGGGAGGGGCUUCAAAGUUUAUCACAGGAUGUCCUGACUACGUGCCAGGGUUGUAAAAGCCUUUGUUUAAUCAAGCAUCAUGCACGCAUCGAUUGGCAUCCUAGCUCAUGCCUAGCUGAGAUGGGAAAUUAUCCCUUUUUACCUAUGAGAAUGGACAGAUAUGAAUAUGACCGGAUGUAUCUGCUGCAAAAACACAGACCAAGCCAACAAAGCACACCUGGAAAAAGCUUUCCUGGGCUCAACAUCUGUUCUAUGUGACCAAAACUGGACACAAUAUUCUGAGAUCUUAUUAAGCAGAUUCCCACCAGCUUAUCCUACCUGGAAUUGUUCAUCUGUAAAGCUAUGACCUCCUUUUGAAGCAGUGCAAGAUCUUGCUGCUUGUUCUGAAUGUCUUCCUGUAGUUGCUGCUGCUCAAUCCGCUGCCAUUCCAGCUUCAACUUGCCAUCAUGGAGUUUUGAAUGUGACUCAAGCAGAGCCUUCUGCAGGUGCUCCAACUCUGGAAAUUGAGAGAGCCCUGUAAAGUUUGUGGAUGGCAGUGUUCCCAUUGGCUGAAUUCUGGUUCCUGAUUCAAUGUAUGCAUUACUCCCCCUCCCACCUGGGCUUGUGUGUCCUGAUCCAGACAGCUUUGAUAAGCAUUGUUUAGAAGACCAAGUUGGAAUGGCUCACCCUCUCAUCUGAGUGGAGAUCAUCAGAAUAUAACUAGUUCUAUGAAGGAGACACUUGAAUUGAAUCGUUCACCAAGUUCAUCGUUUAAACAUCUAAAAAAAAGCAAAUUAAUCCUAAUCUUCAAGAUGCUGCGAAGCCUCCUCCCAGAAGUGUGCCAAGCUCAGAUGGAGAAGAGGAAAUAGCAUCUUCUGUGGAACGAUUUGGGCAGUAAGAAAACUGAAGUGAGUCAAAUGAUAAAAGUCCUUUAUCAACUUUUCAAAACAUUUCAUAAUGAUGGACAUAAGUGCAAUUGGAUGAUAAUCAUUAAGACCUUUUUGGUACUGGCAAAAUAAUGGCAGUCUUAAAACACAAUGGAACCGCUGCCUGCUGCAAUGAAAGAUUGAAAAUAUCUGUAGUCCCUGAAAGACUAUCAAUUUUACAGUAAAUCUGGAACACAUGGUGGAGGAUAAUUUUCCCGUUGACCACAGAAAGUAGUAGUGCGCGUUUUUUUAUACAAUCAAAUAAAUCCCUAAAAUGACCAAAGAGUUUUGCUGUUCAAAAGAUUCAAGCUAAAAAUUGGCUCUAGUAUUUGCUAACAUUUUGAGAUACAAAUCAAAAAAAUCAAAACAUCUUAUUAUGAUGAUAGAUCAAAAAAAUUUCAAAAUGCAAAGUUUCAAAACCUUUUAUAUAAGCACAAAGCAAUCUUAGUGAAAUUAAAAACAAAACAAAGCAAACAUCAAAGGCCUUCCCAGCUCCCACAAGAAAGUAAUAUUCUGACUUUGCCAAUUUGGUGCUGAAUCAUGAAUUCACCAUCCCUAUAUCAGUCUCUGCCAUCCAAAACAUCUUUACUGUUAUCCAAACUACUGUUUGUUUUGUUUCUAUUUCUCAUUGAUUUAAUUUUUGAAGUAAUUAUUAUUUUUUAUGCUUUUGAAUUUAGGGUGUUUUGGGUACUGUAUACUUUAAAAAAACAAAAGCAGCUAUUAAAUUAUUGUCUUCUUUGACAAAGAGAAUUAGUGGAACAAGGAAAUGCUGUAGACAUAGGAUCCUUAGACUUCAGUAAGGCACUUGACAAAGUAGAUUGUAGCCUAUUUGGUAAGGUAGAACAACACGGGAUGGAAAGUAUCACCACCGGAUGGAUUCACAAUUCACUGCAAUAAUGAGACCACACUUGGAGUACUGCGUCCAGAUCUGGUCACCUCAAUACAAAACUGAUGCUGAAAAAUUAGAAAGAGUGCAGAGAAGAGCAGCAAAGAUGAUAAAGGGUAUGAAGACUAAGCCAUAUGAAGAAUGUAGGGAACUAGGUAUAUCCAAUCUAACAAAGAGAAGGACUAGAAAUGAUAUGAUAGCAGGCUUCCAGUAUUUGAUGAGCUCUCACAAAGAACAAGGGUUGACCUAUUCUCCAAAGCUUGACACAUCUUGCAAAAAAUUAUCUCCUAAUUUUAAUGUACAUGUGAUGUAUGAUUUAGUAUAUAGCAGGAAAUAUGUAGGAGGCAGUCAGGAAGAGUGUAACCUCAUAGGGGUUACAUGGGGAACAAAGAGAAUAUUUUGGGUUGGAACUUUAGAGAGAACCAAGCUUUGAUAGCUUCUCUCCCUGCUUAUUGCAAUAAGUGAAACAAAAGGCCUUUACUGUGUCUUGGCUGGUUAUUGGUCAGGCGAGCUUGCCUCUGGUCACGAAGGAAAGUAGCCAGAAGCACAUAACAAUUUCAUAUACCUGGGGAAAAUGAUGGUAGUUUAUUGAUUGUCCUUGCAUAUUUUUCUUGUCAUCAGACUUCAGUAUUCUAAAAUUUGUGAAGAAAAAGAGAUUUAUAUCAGCAGGACUAAAUCAAUCCUGAUGAUUUAAUGAAUAUCUUUCUGAUCCUAAUAUUCCUUUACUUGAAUUGAUUGAAUGAAUGAGGGAGGGGGGAAUAAUUAUACUGACAUAUGACAUGUUGGAUGUUUAUGAAGUGAAUGAAACAGGGAGCAAACUUUGAUGUUUACUCUGACACCCUUUAUAUACCAGAAUAUAUACAAAGUUUUAAUGAUAUUCAGUAGCAAAUAUGUUUCAUGUGAAAUAACAUAUUUUUAAAAAACAUAAUCUAAUAUAAGCUAAUACAUGACUGAAGAAUGCUCUCAUUCAAAACAAAAUGUUGAAACACUAAUGUGAUUUUGAAACCUGUAUGUAACAAUAUUCAAAAUUAUGAGGAAUUUCAAAUGAUUUUGGUGGGUACCUUCCUUACUGUUUCCUAGAGAAGAUAUGUAUGUAUGAUAGGAUUCCUUUCCAACAUAAGUUACCAACAUUAAACCUGUACUAUCUGAAUUAA